This 1351-nucleotide long non-coding RNA is filed under the name Mus musculus (house mouse). RNAcentral describes it as "predicted gene 10734 (Gm10734)". The record is from RNAcentral. Lineage: Eukaryota; Metazoa; Chordata; Mammalia; Rodentia; Muridae.
AGACGUGGGCCAGGCCCUCCUGCAUGACCACAGCUGCCACAUCAGCGCUCCACGCCGGGUCGCAAGCCUGCUCGAUGCGUUCCAGAACCACACUGUCCCACUGUUUCUUGGCCAGGGUGAACUGGCGGUUGGGCUCCAGUUCGAUGGUGUGGUAAGCCCCCAUCUUGACAUACUCAUUCUCUUGGAUAUUGGUCCCCUUCACCCGCAGCUGGCAGGCCUGGGAGUCGAAGUCGAUGGCCUCCACGCAAAGGGUGAGGGUGGUGCGGACACGGUUGCUCCCCACGCUGCCUGUGGAGGACUCGGUCUGGACCUUGCGGAUGGUGGAGGCGCGCAGGCUGUCGCCCACCUGCACUAAAUUGAAGCUCGGGACAGCACUUUUACCCCACGCUUUUUCUCAAGUCUCCGCGCGCUGGCCCACGCGCGGCGCGGCAAACCUCACGCUCAGCACGAGUCAACUCUCGGGACUUCCAGUCGCCGGCCCCGCGAAACCGGCUGACGCGGCGAUCGCGCAGGCGCAGCCCGCCUCCCGGCGCAAGUCUGUUGUGGGUCCCUACCAGAGAGGCGGGGCCUGUCGGCGGCGCGCGCACGCAGGCGCAGUAAAAGGAAAGGCUCGCCCUAGAUAAACGUCAAAGGAGGCGGUCAGCGCUCUGAAAAGCUAAGCUUUUCCCGGCACAUCCCUGUGUGCGAGCACAUGCCAAGUACGUGAAUGCAAACAUAUGUAUUUAAGCUGGAUUUAUCAUUCUGCACCUUAGCGUGAAGCCAGCUUCAGAACUUAUAUAAAAGUGAAAAGCGCCCUCAAAAGUUCAGACUUGCCCCCCCCAUCCCCGGCGAAGUUCAAACUCUGCCUGGCUUUGCUCGCUCUUUCCCUACCAGCACUCAGACCGACGAGCUUGUUGGCUCAGAGAGAUCCAGAAGCGGUUUCUAAGAACUAGUCACGUACAGUCUGGGCUCAGCAACGUGUCCAGCUGUUUUCUGCGCCUGUUACCCUGUUUGCACGAUCCAGUUAACCCAGAUGUUAAAGGACAGAGCCCAGAGAGAGCAGUGGAAUGCGUGGAAUGUACCCCUGGUGGACCUCUAUGUAGCUUGACCUGAUUGAUGUCCUGGGAAUCCCAGAAUCCAAAGUUGGCCGACUCAGCGCAGUAGUCUCUGAGGCGUUCAGUGUGGGAGCCGGACUGCAGUAGAUUAGCGCUCGAUCUUCCCUGCCACUGACUAGCCAAAAGUUGAGGAUAUGGGAAGUAAAGAUAAGCUAAUCUAAUAUGACCACCCCAAAAGAAGAGCCAAAGAGUUGGUUGUAAAGGAAAAGAAAAGAAAAAGAAAAACAAAUAAACAAAAAUCCAUUCCGUUUCUCCCA